RNAcentral lists this ribosomal RNA (253 nucleotides) under uncultured bacterium. RNAcentral describes it as "partial 16S ribosomal RNA". It matches the Rfam family "Bacterial small subunit ribosomal RNA", at positions 524 to 776 of the family's 1533-position model. The record is from RNAcentral.
UACAGGGGGGGCAAGCGUUGUUCGGAAUUACUGGGCGUAAAGGGCUCGUAGGCGGCCAACUAAGUCGGACGUGAAAUCCCUCAGCUUAACUGGGGAACUGCGUCCGAUACUGGAUGGCUUGGAUUUGGGAGAGGGAUGCGGAAUUCCAGGUGUAGCGGUGAAAUGCGUAGAUAUCUGGAGGAACACCGGUGGCGAAGGCGGCAUCCUGGACCAAUAUUGACGCUGAGGAGCGAAAGCUAGGGGAGCAAACGGG